GCAUGUCGUCAUUUCCGUUAAAAACACUAUUUAAACAUGGCGCUUAACGCCAGGUAUUUUGUUUGCUCUUACGUAAAUUUAUCAUUGUUAAUGUUAAACAAAACAAAAGUUUGACUUUAAUCUGCGCAGUCUUUAAUCUACUCUGCCCCACGGUGCAGAUGGUGCUUUCAGUAGGCCUACGUUGUUACUCAUCUUUUUGAGUUUACUGAACGACCCGACUAACCUGCCAUCGAUUGAAAGUCUGGCUUGCCACGCAGGAAAGUUUUUUCUUUCUCAGAAGUAGUUGGCCGAAGAGAAGCUCACGUUGUUGCAUUGGGAUGACAAUUUACUUAAGAUUACUGUGUCUUUACUGUUUUAAUUCACAUAUGUGUAUAUAUUCACGUUGUUUCUCUUCAAACUAAGCAACAGCCACUCUUGAAUAUUGAACGAGCAACAUACUGGUUAGCCUGAUCCCUGUGGUGAUGCGCUGCCCUAUUGCCAGCGGCAAAUACAUUACCUCUUAAGGUUGCAGUGUGCAGUUUAACUUUGAUUCCUUGUCUUCAUAUCUGAAUGUAAUUGAAAUGCCGUGCUAGGAAAAGGAAGAAUUGUAAAUGGGACUGUUGAAAAUGAGUCGCAAGUUUGAAUAUUUUACAAUUUACUCGAUUAGACAGCCACACGAAGAUAGCCUACUUUUUAAAAUUAGAUGAGACAAAAUACUUCCUUUCUGUCUUUUGGUCUUUAUUUAUGCUUUGGUGGUCGGUAAGAUUUUUUUGCUUUUAGUUACUGAAAACAAAUUGCCUUAAUGUGUGGUUUCCUUUAAUGACCUGCAGAAUGGUUCUUAUGUUCUGGACACCAAGCCUCUAACCUUGGUGCUCUAUUAAUCAGUCAAGAUUUAUUUUAAUCUUAAAUUUAAGCUGCUUGUGUACGGAAAGGAAUUUAUUUCUUGUAGUGUUCUUAAAUCUGAAAAUGUUUCUGUAUCACUAGCUGUUUUACUUGAGGAUUUAUGUGAAAAUGAAGUUUUUAAAAAAGUCUGUUGUAUUGGUGAUUUUUUUUUUUCUUUUUCUCUCCCCCAUUUGUAGUCUUCAAUGUCACCAAUAGUUGGAAUUUCUGCAAAGGAAUUUCAUCUUCAUGUUAUUUUGGGUUGUAAUUUUGGUAUUGAAGCAUUGGCACUAGAACUGGGAGGCUUUCCUAGCUUUACUGUGGAAUCAAAUAUUAUGGUUUCAGUUUUCCCAAAUCUAUGGAAAAUUAGCUGAUUAUUGGAUAAUAUGUCACUUGGGGUGUUUUCUGUUCAAAGCUUUGUUCUUAUGAGAUAGUAUUACAAAAUUCUGCAAAAGAGGAGGCUGAUAUUACUAUGGCAGGAAAAUGAAGACCCAGAAUACUUCCCUGGGAAACUCCACUACUAAUUUAAUCAGUCUGAGAUUCCCAUACAGCAUCUGGUAUCUGAUGGUAAGGAUUUCAAACUAAAAUUGAUUUACUAUUGAACCCCAGGGCUUUGCAUUUGUAUCACAGGCUUUUCCAGCUCACGAUCCACUAUACCACAAAACUUACUCCUGACCAAUUAAAAUAUGCAUGUAUUUUAAGAGCACGUUUCCAUAAAACUGUACUGAAACCUGUGCAGAAAAAAAAUUUCCCCCCAGUUUUAAGUUUCAGUUGGUUCAUAAUGAAAUUCCCUGAAUGCACGAAGUGAUUUCAAAUGUUUGACCAGGAAUGUUUGAUAGGAUUGACUUGGGAUGGCGCGUUGCUUUGAUUUGUAUGAUGCCUUACCUUCGAAUAAAGCAUUAUCAUUACUCCCCAA
Anguilla anguilla (European eel) is the source of this 1774-nucleotide long non-coding RNA. RefSeq lists it as uncharacterized. The record is from RefSeq and is a predicted model, not a curated record. NCBI's taxonomy places the organism in Eukaryota, Metazoa, Chordata, Actinopteri, Anguilliformes, Anguillidae. The transcript has 2 exons.